AACUCAAGAGAGUGAGGCUCGCCAGCUGUUUAUGUGGCGUGGAUAUUCUUACAUUUGUGACACUUUCAGUUUGAAGGCACAGAGGACCAUGAAGGGAACCGUGUGAGCAUUUCUGGGCAAAGCCUGAAUUUGAUUUUUUGGUUUGGUUUGUUUUCCUUCUUUGUUCUCCUCUGUGCUGGCAAUUAACACGUUCAGGGAAUGAGGGGUGGGGAAUUCUCCACGGAGGGGGUCCGAGAAGUUUGAUUUUCUUGUCCCCAACUACAAAUGAUUGCCUAAUUGGGAGAAACUGUAACUACAACAGUUCACUGGGGGAAACGUGAAAACAAAGUAACCAGAAAAGAAAUAGAAACCCAGACUUUUCAGUUCCUGUUUAUCCUAUUUUUAAUCUCAACAUCUCAGUUGCUCUCUUUCUGUUUUCCUUGCCUUGCUGGAAUUCGUACACACACCUGGCUUUCCAUUUGCCUUGGGGACAGAGAAGAGGUGGGGCCCGAGAGUGGGGGGCAGCUCCGCUGCGGGGGGCGGGGGGGGGACCAGUGCCACGGUGGCGCUUGUCAGAAGAGGGAGGGGUGCGGAAAUCUCGCCCCGUCUAACUCCAAGGUGUCGGGGGAACGUGAGUGAUGACCCCUCCCUGCAUUAUCUGCUCCCGCUAAGAGACCCUGGCCAUUCCAGCCCCAGUGAGGCAAAGGCAAAGAAAACCAAGGACAUUGGGGGUUGGAAACCUUGCAAGAGACAACAACUGUUCGCCACGGAGGCCGCUCUCUGCUGUGUUGGUGCCCAUGCCACAGUAUGCUCAAAAUUGUGAAAAUACUUUCUCUUCCUUUUACGAGUGAAAUAAUUCAUGCCGUCGUGUGGUUCUGUCACGG
Long non-coding RNA from Leopardus geoffroyi (Geoffroy's cat), 863 nucleotides. RefSeq lists it as uncharacterized. The transcript is spliced from 2 exons. The record is from RefSeq and is a predicted model, not a curated record. NCBI's taxonomy places the organism in Eukaryota, Metazoa, Chordata, Mammalia, Carnivora, Felidae.